This 1677-nucleotide long non-coding RNA is filed under the name Gossypium barbadense (sea-island cotton). Its description in RNAcentral is "long non-coding RNA (GBAR_LNC015637)". Lineage: Eukaryota; Viridiplantae; Streptophyta; Magnoliopsida; Malvales; Malvaceae. The record is from RNAcentral.
UUAGGGUUUUUAAGCUUUCAAGCUCCAUAAUCAAGAAAGACGUGAAGAGUAUAUCAAACGAGGAAAAGAAAAGAUAGUGGAGUAAAGUGCAAAAUUACGAUAUUUUGCACCGAGGUAAGUAAACAUGUGACUUAAUGUAUUAUUUUGACAUUAUUUGACAUAUGUUGAGAUUUAUUUGGAAUUAAAAUAAAUGUUUGGCCAUAUCCUAAAAAUGUUGUUAAAUCGGGAAAGGUGGUAAAGGGUUGCAAUAUAUGGUUUAUGGGUUGAACACUCGGAAUAAGCCGGAGUAUGUUGUAUAUAAAGGGGUUGCUGUGUGCUGAUUCCCCGAUUCAUUGGUGGUGCUAUGUGCGUAUUCCACCAUAUCUUUGAAAUGUGAAAAGGGGGUUGCUAUGUGUUGAUUCCCCCGAGGGAUUGCUAAGUGCUGAUUCCCCGGUUCAUUGGUGGUGCUAAGUGCGAUAUCCACCAUAUCUUUGAAAUGUGAAAGGGGGUUGCUAUGUGCUGAUUCCCCCGAGGGGUUGCUAAGUGCUGAUUCCCCGGUUCAUUGGUGGUGCUAAGUGCGAUAUCAUUGUAUCUUUGAAAUGAAAGGGGGUUGCUAUGUGCUGAUUCCCCCGAGGGGUUGCUAAGUGCUGAUUCCCCGAUUCAGUGGUGGUGCUAAGUGCGAGAUCCACCAAUAACGGUUAACAUUCCGAGUGUUCAACGAAAAAGUGUGGAAGGUGAAUAUUGCCAUAUGGUGGAAAAUUUUAUGGGGUAAAUAUUGAGUUGGACACUAAAUCGAUCCAUGUAUGAGAUGGGAGAAAAUAUUAAAAACGAAAAAGGAACGAUUUAAUUAUAAACUGUGUUGAACAACAGCAGUUGGGUAACUUUGAAAAAUCACCAUAAAUGGUGGAAAAUGAAUGGGAAGCUGAAUAAUAUAUGAAAUUGAAGCUGAAUGUGUCUAUUUUCAUAUGAAAGAAAUAGAAUAAGCAAAAGAGUUGUAUUUUUGGAUAUAUCUGAAUUUUACUGAAACAGGGCUGGAUUGAUUUCGAGAUCCCCUGUUCUAACUUUGGAAAAUUACCAAAAAUUGUAAAAAAAUAAUUAUGGCAUGAAAUUUAUAUCUUUGGAUUCCUUAUUGAUUAUAUUUUUAAUAGAAACAAGAGAAACCAUUUUUCAAAUUUUGUACAGAGAGUUAAGGGAAUUUUUGUGAGGAAGGGUCAGAACCAUUGGGCAGUGAAACAGGGGAAGGUUUAAUGAAUAAACUGUACUAAUUGGCUGGGUCAAAAAUUCUGAAAUUUUUAUGGUGAAAUUUUAUAUGAGUCUAGUUUCAGAAAAAAAUUACGGAACUCAAUUUGGCGCCCUGUAGCUCCAGAUAAAAAUAAAUUAGCGACUAUGACGCAGAAAAACAGUUUGCUGGAAAUUGCCUAAACAAUGAAGUUAUUCAUGAAUAAGUUUAUAUUUUGGUGUAGUUAUGUGAGUAAUUACUUAUUUAUCAUGUGUUUACUUACUAAGCUAUAUGCUUACUCGAUUUUAUUUUUCUCUUGAUUAUAGUGACUUCCAACAACUCGGAAAUUUGGAACGAAGUCAGACAAUCAUCCACACUAUCCUUCACACUUGGGGUAUUUUGCUACUAUCGCUCCGGAAAUUUUAUGGCAUGUAUAGACGACCUAUGAAAUAUGGAAUCAUCAUGUAAACUUAUGUUAU